RNAcentral lists this ribosomal RNA (574 nucleotides) under uncultured bacterium. RNAcentral's name for it is "partial 16S ribosomal RNA". It matches the Rfam family "Bacterial small subunit ribosomal RNA", at positions 355 to 923 of the family's 1533-position model. The record is from RNAcentral.
UGGGGAAUUUUGGACAAUGGGGGAAACCCUGAUCCAGCCAUCCCGCGUGUGCGAUGAAGGCCUUCGGGUUGUAAAGCACUUUUGGCAGGAAAGAAACGUCGCGGGUUAAUACCCCGCGAAACUGACGGUACCUGCAGAAUAAGCACCGGCUAACUACGUGCCAGCAGCCGCGGUAAUACGUAGGGUGCAAGCGUUAAUCGGAAUUACUGGGCGUAAAGCGUGCGCAGGCGGUUCGGAAAGAAAGAUGUGAAAUCCCAGAGCUUAACUUUGGAACUGCAUUUUUAACUACCGGGCUAGAGUGUGUCAGAGGGAGGUGGAAUUCCGCGUGUAGCAGUGAAAUGCGUAGAUAUGCGGAGGAACACCGAUGGCGAAGGCAGCCUCCUGGGAUAACACUGACGCUCAUGCACGAAAGCGUGGGGAGCAAACAGGAUUAGAUACCCUGGUAGUCCACGCCCUAAACGAUGUCAACUAGCUGUUGGGGCCUUCGGGCCUUGGUAGCGCAGCUAACGCGUGAAGUUGACCGCCUGGGGAGUACGGUCGCAAGAUUAAAACUUAAAGAAUUGACGGGGGUGCU